Long non-coding RNA from Oncorhynchus tshawytscha (Chinook salmon), 2386 nucleotides. NCBI's taxonomy places the organism in Eukaryota, Metazoa, Chordata, Actinopteri, Salmoniformes, Salmonidae. The record is from Ensembl.
CACAGACUGGAGACCAGCUCUGAACACACAGAGAGACCUACACAGACUGGAGACCAGCUCUGAACACACAGAGAGACCUACACAGACUGGAGACCAGCUCUGAACACACAGAGAGACCUACAGAGAGACCUACACAGACUGGAGACCAGCUCUGAACACACAGAGAGACCUACACAGACUGGAGACCAGCUCUGAACACACAGAGAGACCUACACAGACAGACUGAGACACAGUACUAACACACACACACACACACAGCACUACCAGACACACCAGCCAUGAAGAGGAAGGAUGAAGCUCGUACCGAGGGCCUGGAUCUUAGAAAGUCCUGAUGUGACAGAAAGAAGAGACAGUACAUGUAGGAAGGACAUGCUGGUGCUCACUACAGUAGCCCCGCCCCCACCCCUCCCACAAUGCUUUGGGUUUGUUCCUGUCUCACUACAGUAGCCCCGCCCCCGCCCCUCCCACAAUGCUUUGGGUUUGUUCCUGUCUCACUACAGUAGCCCCGCCCCCGCCCCUCCCACAAUGCUUUGGGUUUGUUCCUGUCUCACUACAGUAGCCCCGCCCCCACCCCUCCCACAAUGCUUUGGGUUUGUUCCUGUCUCACUACAGUAGCCCCGCCCCCGCCCCUCCCACAAUGCUUUGGGUUUGUUGAACUCUUGUUCAUCUGGGGGGGGUUCCCUCUAAAUGGACGAGUCUCUGGACAGAAAACCUGGCUGAACAAGUGUUUCAGGUGUGGAUUUAAAUAUUCAGAUGUUUUGGUGUCGUAAACAUCCUGAUGUAUCAUAUUGAAGAGAUAUAUACAGUGUGAUGGACAUUUAACUGAACAUCAAGGACAGACGUCACUAUAUUUUAAAGGUUAUACUGUGUAUCUGGAGUCAGGGUGGAGGGGGGGGGGUAACAGGAUGUUUUAGUCAGGAAGUGGUUGAAUAUAAACUCUGGUGUUAUUAUUAUAAUUGAUCCGAUGUUAUUAACUUUAUAUAAUUAUAGAUAGUCUGUUCUAUAUAGAGGUUAUUUUGAGUCUGGUCUCAGACCACACACACACACACACACACACACACACACCAGAGAGAGACGUCUCAGACACACACACACCGAGAGAGAGACAUGUCUCACAGACACACACACACCCGAGAGAGACAUCUUAGACACACACAGAGAGAGAGUGACGUCUCGGACACACACACCGAGAGAGACAUCUUAGACACACACAGAGAGAGAGUGACGUCUCAGACACACACACCGAGAGAGACAUCUUAGACACACACAGAGAGAGAGUGACGUCUCGGACAGACACACCGAGAGAGUGACGUCUCGGACACACACACCGAGAGAGUGACGUCUCGGACACACACACCGAGAGAGUGACGUCUCGGACACACACACCGAGAGAGUGACGUCUCGGACACACACACCGAGAGAGUGACGUCUCGGACACACACACCGAGAGAGUGACGUCUCGGACACACACACCGAGAGAGUGACGUCUCGGACACACACACCGAGUGACUGACGUCUCGGACACACACACCGAGAGAGGGAGAGACGUCUCGGACACACACACCGAGAGAGGGAGAGACGUCUCGGACACACACACCGAGAGAGGGAGAGACGUCUCGGACACACACACCGAGAGAGGGAGAGACGUCUCGGACACACACACCGAGAGAGGGAGAGACACGUCUCGGACACACACACCGAGAGAGUGACGUCUCGGACACACACACCGAGAGAGAGGGAGAGACGUCUCGGACACACACACCGAGAGAGGGAGAGACGUCUCGGACACACACACCGAGAGAGGGAGAGACGUCUCGGACACACACACCGAGAGAGGGAGAGACGUCUCGGACACACACACCGAGAGAGUGAGAGAGACGUCUCGGACACACACACCGAGAGAGAGAGACGUCUCAAUCGAGAGACGAGGUGGUCUGAUCUAGACAGAGGAGAUAUGAACCAGGUCACAUGCCCAUAUUAUUUAUCACACACAGAGACCUUGUUUCACGGUUAAUAUUUGGACCCCACGGGGGGGGGGGUGUAUGUGUGUAGUGUGUGUUUGGUAAGUCUAGGUACUGUACGGUGUGUUGUAUUUUACCCGCCCCAUCCUAUUUCAGUUCAAGAGGGUUGAUUUGUUCCAUCUCAAACACACACCUUUAUAUAGAACAGAAUAGAACAACCUCUGGUCAUAUAGAACAACCUCUGGUCAUGUAGAACAACCUCUGGUCAUGUAGAACAACCUCUGGUCAUGUAGAACAACCUCUGGUCAUGUAGAACAACCUCUGGUCAUGUAGAACAACCUCUGGUCAUGUAGAACAACCUCUGGUCAUGUAGAACAACCUCUGGUCAUGUAGAACAACCUCUGGUCAUGUAGAAUAACCUCUGG